CAGAAUUCUAUCUGGUAUUGGG
RNAcentral lists this microRNA (22 nucleotides) under Lingula anatina. Its description in RNAcentral is "Lan-Mir-216-P1f_3p* (star (passenger))". The record is from RNAcentral. Lineage: Eukaryota; Metazoa; Brachiopoda; Lingulata; Lingulida; Lingulidae.